RNAcentral lists this ribosomal RNA (725 nucleotides) under Aspergillus tamarii. Its description in RNAcentral is "partial 18S ribosomal RNA". The stretch from base 1 to 196 matches the Rfam family "Eukaryotic small subunit ribosomal RNA", at positions 1640 to 1831 of the family's 1831-position model. Lineage: Eukaryota; Fungi; Ascomycota; Eurotiomycetes; Eurotiales; Aspergillaceae. The record is from RNAcentral.
AACAUUUACGUCCCUUGCCUUGUACACACCGCCCGUCGCUACUACCCGAUUGAAUGGCUCGGUGAGGCCCUUCGGACUGGCCCAGGAGGGUUGGCAACGACCCCCCCAGGGCCGGAAAGUUGGUCAAACCCGGUCAUUUAGAGGAAGUAAAAGUCGUAACAAGGUUUCCGUAGGUGAACCUGCGGAAGGAUCAUUACCGAGUGUAGGGUUCCUAGCGAGCCCAACCUCCCACCGUGUUUACUGUAACCUUAGUUGCUUCGGCGCGCCCGCCUUUAAGGCCGCCGGGGGGCAUCAGCCCCCGGGCCCGCGCCCGCCGGAGACACCACGAACUCUGUCUGAUCUAGUGAAGUCUGAGUUGAUUGUAUCGCAAUCAGUUAAAACUUUCAACAAUGAUCUCUUGGUUCCGGCAUCGAUGAAGAACGCAGCGAAAUGCGAUAACUAGUGUGAAUUGCAGAAUUCCGUGAAUCAUCGAGUCUUUGAACGCACAUUGCGCCCCCUGGUAUUCCGGGGGGCAUGCCUGUCCGAGCGUCAUUGCUGCCCAUCAAGCACGGCUUGUGUGUUGGGUCGUCGUCCCCUCUUCGGGGGGGACGGGCCCCAAAGGCAGCGGCGGCACCGCGUCCGAUCCUCGAGCGUAUGGGGCUUUGUCACCCGCUCUGUAGGCCCGGCCGGCGCUUGCCGAACGCAAAACAACCAUUCUUCCAGGUGACCUCGGAUGAGGUACGGUA